Long non-coding RNA from Oryza sativa Japonica Group (Japanese rice), 1153 nucleotides. RefSeq lists it as uncharacterized. The record is from RefSeq and is a predicted model, not a curated record. NCBI's taxonomy places the organism in Eukaryota, Viridiplantae, Streptophyta, Magnoliopsida, Poales, Poaceae.
CCUUUUCUUCCCUACCCAGCCGUCACGCACUCACGCUUCCUCCGGCGGCGGCAAGGCGACGGCAUCGGCGGCCAAGGCGCGGGCGGCGGCGGCGAGCAAGGUGCGGGCGACGGCGGCGGCGGCGAGCAAGGUGCAGGCGACGUCAUCGGCAACCAAGGCGCGGGCGGCGGCGGCGGCGGAAGCGGGAGGCGGAGGAGUGGGAGAGGCGGAAGAGGGGGAGGAGGAGGAGGAGGCGGCAGAGACGAGAGGACCCCGUGGAUGUGCUCGGGGAGGAGGUGAUGGGGCGGGUGAUGGAGCUCCUGGACGCACGCAGCACCUGGCGCUGGGUCGCCGCCGACGACCGCCUCUGGGCACCCAAGGCUUAUUUGAUGAGAGCUGGGGCUGUCAUUCAUAGCCAUGGGAUGGAAACUUGCAUUGCAACCAUGCUUAAUACUGGUGCAAAAGAGUUUAGGCUAUGAUUUGCGACCUGUGGGUGAGCAAUCAACUUCUUGCUGAAGUGUCAGAGAAGGGUACCUGAAGGAACAGAAGAUCAACACUAACUUAAAGGCUCAUACAUCAUGUAAGCUAAAAUCAGUUUGUUCCCAUAGUUUGUGAGAUAAAUUGCAAUCCUUGCUGCUUGUAAAUUGUAAUUGAAUCUGUUACGAUUGCAAUUAUACUGCUUCAACAUAAAUUUCUCAUAAAAUGGAACUGGUAAUUUAAUAUUGGUGGAUUGUGAGAAUAUCGAAGCUAUGCUACAGAUUGAAUUAAAUGGAACUACAUCAGUUAUGUUAUUGACACUUAUCCUGCACAUUUGACACUGAUCUUCAAUUCUGUAUUGAAAUAGUAGGUGUUGCAUAGAUUACUUAUCAUUGAAUGGAGUAUUAUUAUAAUCUAUAUAUCUGACCCUUAAUACUUUUGUCUUUCUGAUAAUCUGAUUCAAGUUUUUAGAUGCUCAACUUAUCAUGGCGGUCACAAGAUAUUUUGGAGUGGCAUUUCUCUUCAAGGGAAAUGCCUUGCCUGUUGUAGAUUUGCCAUCGUUUUGUCUCAUUUUGUAGAUUGUAUAGGAGAAUUUCUCUUUUUGUACAACUAACCUAUGUACAUGGCAUUUGUAAUUAAAUGGAAUUGGUAUAUUCAGUACUAGUGGAAUGUGGAUGCAUGAGAACUGUUGGUGGUA